Molecule: ribosomal RNA, 253 nt
Filed under: uncultured bacterium
Lineage: Bacteria
Description: partial 16S ribosomal RNA
Rfam family: Bacterial small subunit ribosomal RNA
Source: RNAcentral
GACAGAGGGUGCAAACGUUGUUCGGAAUUACUGGGCGUAAAGCGCGUGUAGGCGGUUUGAUAAGUCGGAUGUGAAAGCCCCGGGCUCAACCCGGGAAGUGCAAUCGAUACUGUCGAGCUAGAGUAUCGGAGAGGUGGGUGGAAUUCUCGGUGUAGAGGUGAAAUUCGUAGAUAUCGAGAGGAACACCGGUGGCGAAGGCGGCCAACUGGACGAAUACUGACGCUGAGACUCGAAAGCGUGGGGAGCAAACAGG